UACGGAGGGACUAGCGUUGUUCGGAAUUACUGGGCGUAAAGCGCACGUAGGCGGAUUUGUAAGUCAGGGGUGAAAUCCCGGGGCUCAACCUCGGAACUGCCUUUGAUACUGCAAAUCUCGAGUCCGGAAGAGGUGAGUGGAAUUCCUAGUGUAGAGGUGAAAUUCGUAGAUAUUAGGAAGAACACCAGUGGCGAAGGCGGCUCACUGGUCCGGUACUGACGCUGAGGUGCGAAAGCGUGGGAGCAAACAGG
This 251-nucleotide ribosomal RNA is filed under the name uncultured bacterium. RNAcentral describes it as "partial 16S ribosomal RNA". It matches the Rfam family "Bacterial small subunit ribosomal RNA", at positions 524 to 776 of the family's 1533-position model. The record is from RNAcentral.